Molecule: ribosomal RNA, 380 nt
Filed under: uncultured eukaryote
Lineage: Eukaryota
Description: partial 18S ribosomal RNA
Rfam family: Eukaryotic small subunit ribosomal RNA
Source: RNAcentral
CAAUAGCGUAUAUUAAAGUUGUUGCAGUUAAAAAGCUCGUAGUUGGAUUUCUGCUGAGGACGAUCGGUCCGCCCACUGGGUGAGUAUCUGGCUCGGCCUUGGCAUCUUCUUGGAGAACGUUGCUGCACUUGACUGUGUGGCGCGGUAUCCAGGACUUUUACUUUGAGGAAAUUAGAGUGUUUCAAGCAGGCGCACGCCUUGAAUACAUUAGCAUGGAAUAAUGAGAUAGGACCUUGGUUCUAUUUUGUUGGUUUCUAGAGCUGAGGUAAUGAUUAAUAGGGAUAGUUGGGGGCAUUCGUAUUUAACUGUCAGAGGUGAAAUUCUUGGAUUUGUUAAAGACGGACUACUGCGAGAGCAUUUGCCAAGGAUGUUUUCAUUGA